CAAAAUAUAGCUUAAAUAAAGCAUCUGACUUACACUCAGAAGAUUUCAACACAUAUGAAUAUUUUGA
RNAcentral lists this transfer RNA (67 nucleotides) under Dipodomys merriami (Merriam's kangaroo rat). RNAcentral describes it as "tRNA-Val". It matches the Rfam family "tRNA". Rfam says of the family: Transfer RNA (tRNA) molecules are approximately 80 nucleotides in length. Lineage: Eukaryota; Metazoa; Chordata; Mammalia; Rodentia; Heteromyidae. The record is from RNAcentral.